ACAUCCAUGGCUGAAUUGUUAAAGCGCCCAACUCAUAAUUGACAAAUUCAUAGGUUCAAUUCAUGUUGGAUGCA
This 74-nucleotide transfer RNA is filed under the name Tetracentron sinense. It matches the Rfam family "tRNA". From Rfam's summary of the family: Transfer RNA (tRNA) molecules are approximately 80 nucleotides in length. Their secondary structure includes four short double-helical elements and three loops (D, anti-codon, and T loops). The record is from Rfam by way of RNAcentral. Lineage: Eukaryota; Viridiplantae; Streptophyta; Magnoliopsida; Trochodendrales; Trochodendraceae.